Long non-coding RNA from Rhopalosiphum padi (bird cherry-oat aphid), 2888 nucleotides. RefSeq lists it as uncharacterized. The transcript has 4 exons. The record is from RefSeq and is a predicted model, not a curated record. Lineage: Eukaryota; Metazoa; Arthropoda; Insecta; Hemiptera; Aphididae.
UCAACAUUGCCAUUCACCGUCUAUCCAUCGUCGUAGCAAGACCCACCCCGGGCAGACUUGCGCGAUUAGGAAAGGCAUCUGGUAUCCAAGUUUUUUGAUUAUGAGCAUAUUAUGUUGCCUGCACAUUAUCUUACUCGUAUUAUCAAAUAGUGAUUUUUUUCAUACCUAUUCGCAGCUCUAACAUUUCCUUAGCUCAAGCUAUAUGCACAAACAAAGUUCGACCUUGGUCUUGUUCCGUCUCUCACCGUUCGGGCACUCAAGCUCUGGUAUGCACAAACAAAAUUCGACCUUGGCUUUGUUCCGUGGCUUAUAUAAGUCUGGCACAGUUCGGGCGCAAGACUGCCAGUCACAUUACGAAAACGUUAAUUUUGUUAUAGUUGUAAAAUUGCAACGUACAAUAAUUGACUAUUAUACAAGUGUUUUUUUGAUUUCCUAUAAAAACAGAGCAAUUAACUCAACUCUGGCCAAUUUCUGCGUUACAAAGUGAAUCGUAAAAUUUGUUGAAAAAACACUCAUAAAUUUAACAUCUUCCAAGGGCGUAAUUGAGGAUGGAGAAGGGAGUAUUCGCCCUCCCCCCUCGUCACUUGUUUUUUUUUCUAUUUAAUACAUUAAUUAAUAAUUUAUUUAAACAUUUUUCCAUUUGAUAAAGAUUGUAAAUCGUAUUAGUAUUGAUAUCAUUAUACUUAACAUAAAAAGUAUUUUAUACCUAUUUAGGUAAUCAACUGUAAAUUAUUUUUAGUUUGUAUAGAAGAAAAAAUAAUUUUGUCCCCCCUCCACCCAUGGACUCAACUCAAAUACGCCCUUGGCAUCUUCUUAUAUAUAAUAAAACGUGAAAUAUAAUCACGUUCACAAUAGCCAGGAUCUCCCAGUGGUCGCAUAGAAAAAAUGUUUAGGUAUGGACGUGUGGUCGCCGCGGCCUAACGAUUGAUUAUAUUAAUUAUUAUAUUAUUAAUUUUUUUCUGUAAUCGUAAAUAUAACUAUCAGACUCACACGAUCACCAAUAUUCGGCGUGGUAAUUUCCAGUCAAUUAAAGAUAAAAGGAGGAGAUAAACUGUAAGAUUGUUAGGUUAAACAUAGUUGUAUAUUGUGUGUUAGUUUUUUUUCGUUUUUCGUUUUAUAAAGUCUAAAUGAUAGAAAUUCACGAAAUAGUAAGCGAAAAAAAUAAACAAAUGUUUGUAAUAUUUAAAUAUACAUUUCUAUUUCAUAAGCUAUUAGCAAAUGAAAUAUAAUAAUGGUGUUGUACGGAUAAAAGUUGUAAAAGUUUGUUUAACGAUACAAUAAAGACAUUUUAAUAAGCUCAAGUAAAUUUGACGUUAAUGAUCACAAUCAUGAAGCGAAUACUGAUCAGAUAUUAAAACGUCAACAAAUACGAAAUGGUAUUAAAAGAAAGACAACUGACAAUAUUUGUGAGCGACCGUUAAAAUUAAUCCAUGGUGGUUUAAAAGAAAGCGGAGUUGAGAAUAUUAUCACAACAGAUUUUUCGAAAAGGAAUUCAUGAAGCCCGUAGAAAAAUCCUUCCAGCUAAACCAACCAAUAUACAACAAGUGCAUGACGCUUUAAGGUCCAUUGAUAUCAAACCAAACGAAGGUGAACAAUUUUUAAUUAUCAACGAUAAUAUUAAGAAUUUUAUUUUAUUUUCAUGUAAAAGUAACUUACGAAGUUUAUCAUCAAUUUCUCAAAUUUAUGUCGAUGGGACAUUCCGAUGCUGUACUAAAUAUUUUUGUUAAUUAUUUACUAUCCAUGCAUUGAGAAAUGGUCAUUAUUAUCCUAUUGCUUAUUUUUUAUUACCAGAUAAAAAAUUUAAAAGCUAUCAAAAUGCAUUUCAUUGACUUAUUGAACAGUGUAAUACAUUUCAUUUUGUCUUAAGCCCGAUAUAGUUAUAUUCGUAGACUUUGAAACAUCUAUACACAAGGCAAUUUGUUUAACUUGGCCAUUGGUUAUUAUAAAAGGUUGCAGGUUCCAUCUAGGUCAAUCGCGGUGGUGAAAAAUACAAUCUUUAGGGUUAAGUACAGAUUAUAAAGACAGAUAGCGAAAUAGGCAAAUUUUUAACGUAUAUAUUUGGAUUACCAUUUUUAAAACCUGAAAUGGUAGAGGCAUGUUUUGUAUAGAUUUAGUUUCUAUACAACCUUCAACGGCAAAAAUACAAUUAUUAUGUGAUUAUUUAGUAGAAAUAACUUAUAUUGACGAUAAUUCCGAUUUUCCAUCGAAUGUAUGGGCUACUUGUAGUUCUAGUACAGUGUUUCCCAACUGGUGUUCCGCGGAACCUAAAGGUUCCGUCAGCCGGUGCCAAGGGUUACGAAAAUAGGGUUCCGUGAGAAAUUUGGGAAAAUAUAAAUUAAUUAAUAAUAUUUUUGAUUUGAAUUAUGAUUUUAAUAUAGUUCAUAGAAUAGCUCCAAAAAUGAUAUGGGGGUUCCACAGAACGUUCAAGCUCCUGCAAAGGUUCCGGGAGUAAAAGAAGUCGGGAAACACUGUUCUAGUACAUACUUGACAACAAACGUAUGUGAAAGUUUCCAUUCUAAACUUAAUUGAUUAUCCAAGUAUAUAUCAAUUUUUGGAUAUUUUGAAACAAUGUCAAACCGUUGCCAAAAUUAAAAUUCAAUCUAUAGUCUGUGCUCCUCGGGGAACAACUAAACAAAUUAAUAAAAAAAAAUAUAGAAACGCAAAUAAAAAAAUUAAACAGCUUAGAAAUAUCUAAUUUUGAUUUUGUGAAAAUAAUGAGUUCUAAAAAUCUACCUUUAACUAUAACUUAGCACUAAAAUUAUUUUACUGUUUAUUAUUGUCAUAUGUAUUUUAUAACUUUUUGUAUUGUAAGCAAUUUAUUAUUUUAUUAUUCGACUACUUGUAUGUAUAUGUACUAUUUAAUUAAUUAUUAAUUUUCCUAUGUAGCC